Molecule: ribosomal RNA, 468 nt
Filed under: uncultured bacterium
Lineage: Bacteria
Description: partial 16S ribosomal RNA
Rfam family: Bacterial small subunit ribosomal RNA
Source: RNAcentral
GACGAACGCUGGCGGCGUGCUUAACACAUGCAAGUCGAACGGAAAGGCCCUGCUUUUGUGGGGUGCUCGAGUGGCGAACGGGUGAGUAACACGUGAGUAACCUGCCCUUGACUUUGGGAUAACUUCAGGAAACUGGGGCUAAUGCCGGAUUGGAGCUCCUGCUGCAUGGUGGGGGUUGGAAAGUUUCGGCGGUUGGGGAUGGACUCGCGGCUUAUCAGCUUGUUGGUGGGGUAGUGGCUUACCAAGGCUUUGACGGGUAGCCGGCCUGAGAGGGUGACCGGCCACAUUGGGACUGAGAUACGGCCCAGACUCCUACGGGAGGCAGCAGUGGGGAAUAUUGCACAAUGGGCGGAAGCCUGAUGCAGCAACGCCGCGUGCGGGAUGACGGCCUUCGGGUUGUAAACCGCUUUCGCCUGUGACGAAGCGUGAGUGACGGUAAUGGGUAAAGAAGCACCGGCUAACUACGUG